RNAcentral lists this ribosomal RNA (253 nucleotides) under uncultured bacterium. Its description in RNAcentral is "partial 16S ribosomal RNA". It matches the Rfam family "Bacterial small subunit ribosomal RNA", at positions 524 to 776 of the family's 1533-position model. The record is from RNAcentral.
UACGUAGGGGGCAAGCGUUGUCCGGAAUUACUGGGCGUAAAGAGCGUGUAGGCGGCCAGGUAGGUCUGGUGUGAAAACUCGAGGCUUAACCUCGAGAUGUCAUCGGAAACCAUUUGGCUAGAGUCCGGAAGAGGAAAGUGGAAUUCCUGGUGUAGCGGUGAAAUGCGCAGAUAUCAGGAAGAACACCAAUGGCGAAAGCAGCUUUCUGGGACGGUACUGACGCUGAGACGCGAAAGCGUGGGGAGCGAACAGG